UACAGAGGUGGCAAGCGUUGUUCGGAAUUACUGGGCGUAAAGGGCGCGUAGGCGGCCUUUCAAGUCCUGUGUGAAAUCCCUCGGCUCAACUGAGGAAUUGCACGGGAAACUGUUUGGCUUGAGUUCGGGAGAGGGAAGCGGAAUUCCGGGUGUAGCGGUGAAAUGCGUAGAUAUCCGGAGGAACACCGGUGGCGAAGGCGGCUUCCUGGCCUGUUCUUGACGCUGAGGCGCGAAAGCUAGGGGAGCAAACGGG
RNAcentral lists this ribosomal RNA (253 nucleotides) under uncultured bacterium. RNAcentral describes it as "partial 16S ribosomal RNA". It matches the Rfam family "Bacterial small subunit ribosomal RNA", at positions 524 to 776 of the family's 1533-position model. The record is from RNAcentral.